This is a long non-coding RNA of Numida meleagris (helmeted guineafowl), 6353 nucleotides long. RefSeq lists it as uncharacterized. NCBI's taxonomy places the organism in Eukaryota, Metazoa, Chordata, Aves, Galliformes, Numididae. The record is from RefSeq and is a predicted model, not a curated record. The transcript has 3 exons.
UGGAGAUCCUUGCAUACCUGAGGUCUUCUGAAGCCUGCAGCAAGAAUAGCUGGUGGACUGAGUCACUGCAGAUUUUUCCAGUCUUGAAGACUGUCCUAACCAAAUACCUCAAUUUCCAAGCUGCUUGGUGCUGGCCAUCAUGACAGUGUGAGGAAGACGAGUCCUCCCAGUUGCAGCCAGUCGCAUCCUCCAGGACAGGGCAACAUCACUGCCUUCACUGAGAGCCUGAUCCAAAAGCCACUGACGCCAUCAGACCAUCUCCCGCUGACUUUGGCUGCAAGUAGGAAACCCACAUGCCACGGGCUCUGCUUUCUUCCCUGUUCCUGUGGCUCUGCAGAACAGAACCAAUACAGGAAUCCCAGGCUCUGACCUUGGCUGCACCAACCCUGCUUCAGCUGCACAUAGACAAGAAGCAGCUAAGAGCAGUGUAAGUGAAAAAAUUAAUAUCUUUUUCUCCUUGCAAGUGAAAAAAAUAAAGCAGCAGACACUACAGAUGUACAUUUUCUGGGGUUUGAACUGUCCUAAGAAUACGGAACAAUUAGGCCAUAGAAGAGGCAGCUGGUAAAAAGCAUAGGACAAAACUGAGGACGGGAGCAAUGAAUUGUAUGGCUGUCCCCCAUUCGACCAGCUCUGCCCUUCCUCCAGAGUCAUCUCAGGGCUGUGCUCAAUGUUUUGAAUCUCUUAUUGACCACAGUAGGAACAAGAGGUAAGAUGCUAUUUAUUUUUCUGCCAGGUAUUUAACGUCCUCCACUCAUCCAGCACCUUUGUAUUGCCUUCAAGAGCACCUGUAGUCUCAGCCUUUUUGGAAAUCAGGCCCCACAUUCUGAAAUCACAACAGAUCACAACAGGGUCAGAACAUCCAGACUAUAUAAAAUGAGGGUGACAAAGCUAAUGCUCUUAGCAGCUUCCUGUUUUGUUUAUGGUACAACAAGGCAGCAACUACUUGAGGCUUCAGCAACUUCUGAAAUCUUACAUGCCUAUGCUCUAGGCAUCCCAGUAGGGAUGCCCUCCUGACCCACACAGCACCAUUAACAAUUCUGUAGAGCUAAAGCCUGAUCUCCUUACACUCACUCUGGCUAUUUUGCUAGGAACAUACUGCCCUUCCUUUCUGCAGUUACAGCUCACUGCAGUGCCAAGGUUUUAUACCUGCACAUCACAGCAACAAAGUGCAAGACCCUUGCAGCCAGCAUGGCCAGCAAGGAGUUGAGGAGUAUUUUUGGGAAAGUGUAUUUGUUCAAUUAGUUUGCGCAUAAGAUGAUGGGGCCAAAUGUCUUCCUGAGAGCACGGAGAAGAGGUUAGGGCCUGAACCAUAGCACUCUGGAAAGAAGGGUUCUUUGUCUGGGGCGCAGAAGGAUCAUGCUAACCGGGGAACAUAAGGAAGGCAAGGCUCCAAAACACGGUGACAGCCAGGUUUUGUUUUAGCCCAAGCAGGCCUGUUUUUGUGUGUGCUUAAAAACUUUUUUGUUUGGAAACGAUUUUACCCCAAAGCUUUGUGAUUACAAAAACAUCUGAGAAAGCUCUACUUGUGAGCAGCUGUGCUGUUACACUGCCUGGCAAAGACCUGGCAGCCUGCACCAGGGUUUAGAAAUCUUUGUAAGUGGUGUUCAAGGGAAGGAUUCCUGCCCUGCUUCAAGCUUCCUCUUUUAAUACUACUUUCUGUGCCUUUUCUUGGCCAUGGACAAAAGCCGCUGGUCUCCCAAAACUGGGACUGUGACUAAGUGUUGGUGUCAGCUAGUGAGUGUGCAGCAGGGCAGAGUGAGGGCCCUGGGGAAUUGCUGGCCAUUACUGAGAAGCUGAGGUCUCCCUCCAGCAUGCCCUAUUAAAUGCUGACCAAUGGCUGCGGCCACCUAUUACAGACCUAGUGGACAGCAUGGGGAGGGGAAUGCGUGGGGAGAUGCUUCUAAGGCAGCAGCACAGCUGCCAGCGCACCCAGUUUCCUUUCUACAAGAACAUUUUUCUCCUUUUUAGCAUAAUAUCCACAGAUACUAAGGAAAAAUCAGGCUGCUCGGUCUCUGAGGCUGGCGCCCGGGAUGCUGCCACACUGAGCCUCAUUCUUUCCUUGUGGUCCAUUGCUUGUCUGCCUCCCUCUGUAGCUCGUGUCCUCCACCAUGGGCACUGGGGAGAGGAGGCUUGCCUGUAGUGGGAUGGAAGCUUGCUAUACAGCUGUGGAAAAAAGAAGCCAGGGGAGCUGUUCUCAGUUCUACUUGUGCUCUGUGGUUCUGUAGACUAGUGUGAGACAAGGAAAAAAUUAAUUUACUUUGUCUUUAUUUUUAUUCAUCUGAGUACUCAGAUAUCAGAGUACAGCUUUAGGUAGGGUCUGAUCUCCAGCAAUUUUAGGUAGAGAGUCAGUGACACCAACCCUAAAGCCAAAGGGCAGGAAGCAGGGCAGCCCAUCUGCCCUCCUACCUGCUGAGCCAGCUGAGACUGAGUCAUGACAUAAACAACUGCCUGGUGUGCCAGGAAAAGCUGUCAUGACUGAACCUAAUGUGAUAGUGACCAUUGUGAGCCAUGAAUACAGUGUAUGCAAUUUACUGUAAGUGAGUUCAGAGCACAGUGCAGCCAGCCAGUUCCUGCUGAAUCACUGGCUGCAUGUCAUGCAACAAAAGAGGCUCACACUGGUCAGUGGCCGUGACGACAGUGAGCACAUCUCUCUGACUGCCCUGUGUCUUCUCAUCAGUCUUCUGCAAGCAGGGAUGACCUCUUGGCUAUGCUGACCCCACUUUCCAGGGCCAGCUGGAAAUCACUAAUCUGACAAGCCUGGAGAACCAAAAAGCUGCAGUCUGACAUUUACCAAUACUAGCUCUUUGCUGAGCUUCUCUGCUUGAUCCUACCAAUCUGUCAAGAGGCGAGUGACAGAAACCUGUGUCUUCUCAGCCAUUUCAGUGUAAAGCUUCAGCUGCUGGUAGGGGUGGCUGGACUGUGAACUGCUUGUGAUCUGCUGGCUGAGGUGUGGGAACAUGUUCCCCUCUGCCGGCUUUUGUCACCAGGUGGUCACCUCCAGCAGAUGCCAGAGCACAGCUGGGUCAGUAACUACCCAGACUGCACCAGAGGCUAUCUGCCAGAUGUGAGGUCAUCUCCUGAAUUUGGGUCCUCAUCAGGUUAGAUCAUGGAGGAAAAAGUGGAAGCAAAGGGACUGUCAGUUAGAGGAUUCUUGUGUGUUUUUUUCUGCAGCUGAACCAAGAGCUGCCUCAACCGUGGGAAUAACGCAGUCUCUCUGCCAAGUUCAGCCUGGGCAGACCCCAGGAGCAGACUCCUCAGAGCACAGGCAAACGUACCUCACUGCAAUCUCUUUCAGCUUCCCAAUCUGGGCCCCUGCUGAAGGGAGCCACAGGUACCUCCAAAGUUAACUGAGGGGAAGAAAAAAAAGCAGUGGAAAUUUCCACUCCUGAACACACAAGUGCUGAGCUUGUGCCUGGCAGUGCUAGGGCAGGACGUGUGGGAAGCUGCAGCACUUGCUGGUGGACUCUUUCCCGUACUGCCACCCUCUUUCUUCCCAUUCUUCAUCCUGGUAGCUGAAGGCUUUCAGUCCUGCAGAAUACCAGACUUGUGCCAAUCUCUGGAGUCUCUAGGCAGCUUACAUGAGACAUGGUUUACGCUGCUGUUUGCAUCAUGAGUACAUUUAAGGUCUCCAAGCCAAGGUUGCUGCCCCUUCUUACAAAUUCUCUGCUCAGCUGUCCGUGUCCAACAGUUUCCAUUUAAUUGCUGAGAGUGGAGUGAAGCAUUUAGAUUUCUAAGCAGAAUGGUCUUCUGCACACUUCCAACUUCCUUUGCUGAAGAACAGAAGUGCGGGAGGCAGCGCUUUGUUUCAGUUCCGCACGAGGAUGCUGUCCAGUGCAGGCGUGUAACACGCUUAUAUUGUUGUGGCUUAACAAGAAUGUCAUCCUUGUGAAUUGGGCAAGCAAAAUCUGGGGUACUGCUAUCAAAGAGCAGUGUUUAGCAAGGCAACUUACUUAUUUGGGUGCAACUGUAGCUACAGAGCUGUUUUAACUGAGUCAUUCACUGCAAGCAGAGCUACACUGAGCUCACACUUCCUGGGAAGACUCUGGGAAGGGUCUGAACAGUUUCUGUUUUAUUGUUUGCUCUUUGCAAGUGUCCUCUGCUCUUCAGAAAUGUCCCAUCAAGUAUUUAAACCUGGAUUCCCCUACAGUUAAACUGGGGUCCCUGCUUUCUACAGUGACAUUCCUAUUUGUGCACUGGAAUAGAAAUGGCCUUUCCUGGCUUACUCGCUUGCUUUCUGCAUUCUCCAGCACUGUGCUCAGGAUAGGGGGCAAAGAAAAUUAGCAAAACGUGGUAGGGCUUGGCAAGCCACUUCAGAGGGUGACUUAAAGCUGUAGUGCACGCUGCAGAUGGCAGCAAGUCUCCCAAAAGGAAAAUGUUUAGCAGCUAUCUAUUGCCGCAGCUGUAAUUCCAAAACAGAAGAAGGACAGUUGUGUACGUUGGCCUCCUCAUUGAAGUUUGUUCUAACAUCUGCAAAAGUAUGUUGUGUGUCAACACCCUCACCAGAUUCCCAGCCAAAAGGAGGGUGGGAGGGGAGCUACAAACAGGGAACUUUUCAUUUAUAAAAGCCCUCCCUUUUACCAAAAGAGCCUUAUAAAAAGUGGCUGCUAUCUAGGUCUCCAUUUAGUCAUUGGCAUGAAAACCAGGGGAGCUGUAAACUUGCCAGGAUGCCAAAAGGAUGAAGUUUCCCUCUCAGUGCAGAAUUUGGGCAUAUCUUUCUCCUAGCAAGAAACAAAAGGUUUAGGAACAGAUCCCACACUCUUUGUUGAUUCAUGCAGUGGUGCAGAAACAUACAGCUAUUGUACACUUUGUCUAAGUAAUAAACUUGCAAAUAAUAAUAAUUCCUACUAUGCCUCCAUCUCUGCUCACACAGGCUAUUAUUUGCCUCCCUGGGAGUAGGUGUGCACACACAAGGUAGCCAGAAGCAUUCAGCAGGGGCAGUUGUAGUGGUUCAGUCUCCCUCUAGAAAAUCCACCAAGCCUGCCAAGGUUAGGCAUUUUCGAUCUAAAAUGGACAUGAUUUGUGAUUAAUGAAGUUACAAAACAAACGUUAAACCUCCAGCCAAACUGGAGAGACUCACUGCUUUGUAUCCAGUGCUGAGGAGGAGCUUACUAGCAGAGGGCUCAAAUUCCAGGCUACCAUAACCUUGGUGUGUUGUGCUUAAUAUCGCUUUUCUUCCUGACACAGACUGGGCCUAGUUGCAAAACAAGCAUCAUUCCCCUUGUCUCUCCACCCCAAGCCCGGUCCAAGUGAAUGUUUUGGGGCAGGAGGACCGUCCCCGUUUUUGUCAUUGUGAAUGAAGUUUAGCACAAAGAUGCUCUGAACUCAGCUGGAGUCUUGAGGCACCGUUACACAAAUAAACACUGAGUGAAUGAAGUGAAAGAAUAAGCAGCAAUGACAGCAAGGACUAAACAGUCUCCAUUUAUUCAAACAAAAUGGAGAUGAGGAAAUGCAUGUGAGUUGAUAUUUUUGGCUGUUCGUAUUCUUAUGGAAAUUAAUAUGUUUUUUGUCUCCUAACAACGUCUUGGAUCCGUGUGGAAAAAUUUAAUGAGAUCUUUUAAGCCAAUAAAAUCGCAUUGAAAUCAGAAUGUAAGUCAAAGUGAGUUAUUUAAGAGCAACAACAGAAACAUCCUAGCCCAUAGAGAUGCUGAUACAUUGUUAGCAGGAAGGAAGAAAAUCUUGCCUAGUAUGUGUAGUGAUGAUGAACAUAUACAGGCCUACAUAUAAGAAAAAGUGCUUCCUUGCAUACAGUCAUGCUCAGGUGGAUAUAGAACUCCUUUGCAAUAUCAGCCUGGUUAUUAGUUUCUGGAUACAACUAAGCGCUGCACAGGCACCUAAGGUUGUAGAGUUUCAUUAAAUCUGCAGAAUAAGUUUUCUUCUAAGAACUGUUUGGCUGCAAGAAACUUUGCAGUUACUUUGCAGUUCUUUGAGAUUCUCAAAUGAGCACGUCCACGUACAGGACCUGGCCCAGUACGUGGAUUGGGAUCACUGAUUUCACUGGAACUUCGGCAAAGCUACAGCACACACAGCUGGGGCAGGGACACUUCCUCACCCUGGGCACACUGGGGAACAGCAGGGUAUGGUCUCACACCACUGCUCAGGGAGCACUGGGAGAAAGAAUAUGAUAAAGCAGGAAAAGACCACGAGGAAAAUAUUCGUGUAAACUGAAUAAAAGGAAGAGCCUUUCCUCAGCACAAGAAUAAAGUCUGCAGGACAGUAGUGUUCGUCUUUGUACAUCUUAGGCCAUCCACAAACAUAGGCAAUUUCUCCUAGCUGCCAAACUACUGAAUUUCAGAGCCUUUUGUCUGCUGCCUGGGGGCUCAUUUUGAAGUUAGCAGAAUUGAGGGUGAAGAGAA